Molecule: non-coding RNA, 223 nt
Organism: Oryza glumipatula
Lineage: Eukaryota; Viridiplantae; Streptophyta; Magnoliopsida; Poales; Poaceae
Source: Rfam
UUUAAGUGCAACCAUGAGUUUUCGUAUUCAACUUUGAUCGUCCGUCUUAUUUAAUUUUUUUUAUAAUAAUUAUUAUUAUUAUUAUUAUUAUUAUUAUUAUUAUUAUUAUUAUUAUAUGAUAAAUAGUACUUUAUAUUUGACUUAUAUUUUUAAAAAAAAAUUAAAAAAAUUAAACAAAACAGACGAUCAAAGUUGGGUACGAAAAAUCAUAGCUGCAUUUAUA